Molecule: long non-coding RNA, 2118 nt
Filed under: Ananas comosus (pineapple)
Lineage: Eukaryota; Viridiplantae; Streptophyta; Magnoliopsida; Poales; Bromeliaceae
Description: long non-coding RNA (ACOM_LNC005355)
Source: RNAcentral
CGCGAUCCCGUGCCUCCGCCGGUGCCGAAGGCUCUGAAAAGUAAACCAUAAAACGAGGGCAUGAGAACUAUUAAAAAUAGUUCCCAGUGGGCAAUUACUGACUUCAGUGCAUGCACCACAAGGCCCAAAGCUACAAAAGAUGUCAGUGACUAUAGAAGUAGAAAGGCGACAGGUAAGUAAAUAUGUAACCUACUACGACAUGAUAUCUCUACUUAGCAUGAAUAGCAUAAGUAUGAAAACAACUAUGCAUAAAGUAAAUGUCUCCAACUAUCAUGAUGUUCACAAUGUGAAAUAGUGAAGUUCCGUUGUUUACUAUUCUAAUCAAUGUCCAAGUAGUACACUAAGUCAUCAUCUGUCCACAUGUCAUAAUGGAUAUAUAUAGCCCAAUCUGAGAGACCCACCCGAAGGCUGUCUAUGGCCCUGAGACCCACCCGUAGGCUGUCUGGCCGGUGCCGAGCCUAAUGGCCCCGUGGUAGUCAUCAUCCCCACCCUAGGAAUGAGCCUGGCCCACGGCAAUCCACUUCGGCGCCCAAUCCCGCACGGCGAGUAUGAAUCGCGAUGGCCAUCUCCGGAGUGCCGGCUUGUAGGGAGCGACCCUCACAAGCAUGUGCGAAUGAGCACAAUGGCAAGUAGUCAAACGAUCUGUCGCAAGUACCAAGUCCUCAUGUCUAAUAACAUGGAAUGUAUCGAGUGUCCCAAAGGCCUAUCUCUAUGUCAUCAUGUCUCUAAGUUGCAUUUUAUAGUUUACUAAUUCCAAGUGCCUCUUUAUGACACUUUUGUUCAACGAGUCCCAAUUAUGGCAUUAACAUGUUCAUGAUGCAUAGUUCACUCAAUUCAAGCAUGGAGUCAUGUUCUCAACUUGCAAAACCAAGCACUAUCCACAAUGCAUGCAAUCUACGCAUAUAGCUCUACUAUAUGAAGUACAAUUUUUACGAUACAUGAAGCGUGCAAAUUAGGUGUUCUAAAAUUCAUAUAAAUCAUGUUUAGCAUGAAUUUGCAUUCGAAAAUACUUUACAAAAAUUUUAGAAGGCAUAGGGGCCAUUUUGCCCCAUUUUCAUGAAGUCAAACCCACCGAAAAAGAUCGACUUCUUCGUUUCGCCGAACGAAGAUAUCCACAAGCUCCCUAGUACCCUAGAACCAUCAAAAAUAGGGUCACCUAAACGAAACGAAGAGCGAAUAGCUCAAACAUUACCCAACUCAAGCUAGGGUUGGGAGAAACUCACCUCAAGUGGAAAACCCUCUCUAAAUCCUCAAAUGGAAGGUAGAGGUCUUCCAAUCUAACCUAUAUAAAGGUUCCAAACCCAUCAAUUAGGUCUCAUAACCCUCAAAUCCAAAAACCCCCAAAAUAAACCCUAAAUCCCAAAAUCUAGGGUUUCAUCUAGAAAAAACCUAGGAAAACAAGUAUCAAAUGGGGAUUAUAAGCUACCAACCUCAAGAGAAGCCCCAAUCCAAGCUCAAAACCAAGUAGGGUUGGAGUUUGAUCCUCCACAAGGCUCCAACCGCAUGCUCCAAGCCUCCAAAGGUGGAAAAUGAGGAAGAAGAUGAUGCCCCAAGGCCUCUAUGCAAGCUCCUUCUCCUCUUCUUCUCCUUCUUCUCCUUCCCUUUCUCUCUCUAGAAGUGUAGGAAGAGUGUGAGGGAGAGAAAAUGAGAGUGAGAGGGGAGGAGAGGCUGCCUAUAGCCUCUAAAGUAACAAAAUCCACAUAGGCCCCUCAAAAACUCAAAUUUACAUCAGCCCGGACUGGGCAGUUUUCGCCCAGAGGGACCGGUCUCUCCCCAGCAGGGACCGGUCUCUCGCUGCGAACCCGAAAAACCAGCGUUCGGGAACCGGUCUCUCCCUGCGCGGGACCGGUCUCUCCCCGCGCAGACGGGCUCGGGGACCGGUCUCAACUGCCAAGGACCGGUUGCCUCGCCUGCUGCGCGGUACUGUUCACUGGGGGACCGGUCUCUCCUAUCAGGGACCGGUCCCCGAGAGUAAAAACUCUCAGGACUCUGCCAAAACUCUCGAGAUCGAACUUUUAGGCCGGUAUACCAUCGACGGCCCUCCACCAAGUGUGGAAAAGUUCGGAAUACCAAUCGAACACUCGAACCUCGCAAUUUGCAAAGAUCCAGUGUGCUACA